AGUCGAGCGGCAGCACGGGUACUUGUACCUGGUGGCGAGCGGCGGACGGGUGAGUAAUGCCUAGGAAUCUGCCUGGUAGUGGGGGAUAACGCUCGGAAACGGACGCUAAUACCGCAUACGUCCUACGGGAGAAAGCAGGGGACCUUCGGGCCUUGCGCUAUCAGAUGAGCCUAGGUCGGAUUAGCUAGUUGGUGAGGUAAUGGCUCACCAAGGCGACGAUCCGUAACUGGUCUGAGAGGAUGAUCAGUCACACUGGAACUGAGACACGGUCCAGACUCCUACGGGAGGCAGCAGUGGGGAAUAUUGGACAAUGGGCGAAAGCCUGAUCCAGCCAUGCCGCGUGUGUGAAGAAGGUCUUCGGAUUGUAAAGCACUUUAAGUUGGGAGGAAGGGCAGUAAAUUAAUACUUUGCUGUUUUGACGUUACCGACAGAAUAAGCACCGGCUAACUCUGUGCCA
RNAcentral lists this ribosomal RNA (457 nucleotides) under Pseudomonas sp. RNAcentral's name for it is "bacterial SSU rRNA". It matches the Rfam family "Bacterial small subunit ribosomal RNA", at positions 60 to 510 of the family's 1533-position model. Lineage: Bacteria; Pseudomonadati; Pseudomonadota; Gammaproteobacteria; Pseudomonadales; Pseudomonadaceae. The record is from RNAcentral.